Molecule: ribosomal RNA, 994 nt
Filed under: uncultured Corynebacterium sp.
Lineage: Bacteria; Bacillati; Actinomycetota; Actinomycetes; Mycobacteriales; Corynebacteriaceae
Description: bacterial SSU rRNA
Rfam family: Bacterial small subunit ribosomal RNA
Source: RNAcentral
GUGCCAGCAGCCGCGGUAAUACGUAGGGUGCAAGCGUUGUCCGGAAUUACUGGGCGUAAAGAGCUCGUAGGUGGUUUGUCGCGUCGUUAGUGAAAGCCCGGGGCUUAACUCCGGGUCUGCUGGCGAUACGGGCAUAACUUGAGUGCUGUAGGGGAGACUGGAAUUCCUGGUGUAGCGGUGGAAUGCGCAGAUAUCAGGAGGAACACCGAUGGCGAAGGCAGGUCUCUGGGCAGUAACUGACGCUGAGGAGCGAAAGCAUGGGUAGCGAACAGGAUUAGAUACCCUGGUAGUCCAUGCCGUAAACGGUGGGCGCUAGGUGUGGGGGUUUUUCACGACUUCCGUGCCGUAGCUAACGCAUUAAGCGCCCCGCCUGGGGAGUACGGCCGCAAGGCUAAAACUCAAAGGAAUUGACGGGGGCCCGCACAAGCGGCGGAGCAUGUGGAUUAAUUCGAUGCAACGCGAAGAACCUUACCUGGGCUUGACAUAUACGGGAUCGGCGUAGAGAUACGUUUUCCCUUGUGGCUUGUAUACAGGUGGUGCAUGGUUGUCGUCAGCUCGUGUCGUGAGAUGUUGGGUUAAGUCCCGCAACGAGCGCAACCCUUGUCUUGUGUUGCCAGCACGUUAUGGUGGGGACUCGCGAGAGACUGCCGGGGUUAACUCGGAGGAAGGUGGGGAUGACGUCAAAUCAUCAUGCCCCUUAUGUCCAGGGCUUCACACAUGCUACAAUGGUCGGUACAGUGGGUUGCCAUGCCGUGAGGUGGAGCUAAUCCCUUAAAGUCGGUCUCAGUUCGGAUUGGAGUCUGCAACUCGACUCCAUGAAGUCGGAGUCGCUAGUAAUCGCAGAUCAGCAACGCUGCGGUGAAUACGUUCCCGGGCCUUGUACACACCGCCCGUCACGUCAUGAAAGUUGGUAACACCCGAAGCCAGUGGCCCAAACUCGUUAGGGAGCUGUCGAAGGUGGGAUCGGCGAUUGGGACGAAGUCGUAACAAGGUA